Molecule: non-coding RNA, 437 nt
Organism: Urocitellus parryii (Arctic ground squirrel)
Lineage: Eukaryota; Metazoa; Chordata; Mammalia; Rodentia; Sciuridae
Source: RefSeq, a predicted model, not a curated record
GAUCCUUCUACCUGAGCCUCCUGAGUCGUUGGAAUUAUAGAAAGAAGACCAGAGAGGAACACCAGAGGAAGCUUAAAGAAAGAUCCGAGCCUGGGAUUUAUGCUACUUUAUAUGGCUGAGCUAAAACUCCUUACUCUGUCCACAUCUGCUUCUGGAUGAGAACCAAUUACUUCCAAACAAUGAUACAACCUAAGGGGAAUGCAAGAAAGGAGUCCAUCCAUCUUCCCCAUCUUCGGGGCCGUGUGUGUGUGUGUGUGUGUGUGUGUGUGUGUGUGUGUGUCUGUGUGUGUGUGUGUGCAUGUGUGUGUGUACUGGGGCAGGGGUGGAGGGCAGUAGUGAGAAGGAGGAAAGGCCAGAAAAGGAGUUGGAAAAAUAUUUUUUUCCUUUUGAUAAUUCGUUAAGUUGAAUACCAAACUGUGCAGAAAAAAAAAAAAAAA